UCAACUCCCUGUCUUAAGCCCGACGACCACACCAGGACGGUGCUGUGACAUUCCUUGGUCUACAGUGGUUGGCUGUUUGCAUUCCGGUUCGCUUCCAUGUGGAUAUUUUAUGUGCUCCGGGUUUUUGUAACUCCAAAAAAACAACAGCUUUAUCAUGCAGCUCUUAAAUUGUGACUGCCCAAACUUGGAUAUUUCAGCACACUUCAAACUCGAGAAAACACCUUGCGGAUGCCCUGGAUGCCUCCUUAGUGAGGUGUUCCAGAUAUGUCUCACUGGGAGGAGGAUCCAGGGAUGAACCAGGACAUGCUGGAGGGGCUAUGUCUUCUGGCUGACCUGGGAAGAGCUGGGCGACGUGCCCAGAGAGAGGGAAGUCUGGGCUUUCCUGCUUGAACUUGUGUCCCCGUAAAUGCCAUGAUUCUUUGUAGAGACGGUAUAUAUUAAACGGGUAAUAUCAAAAUAUUUGUUAAAAGCAUUUCUGGUUUAUAAUGAAACAAACCCUACAAAAUAUAGUAAGUACUUUCAAUCCAUGAACUUUCUCAA
This is a long non-coding RNA of Phyllopteryx taeniolatus (common seadragon), 540 nucleotides long. RefSeq lists it as uncharacterized. Lineage: Eukaryota; Metazoa; Chordata; Actinopteri; Syngnathiformes; Syngnathidae. The transcript has 3 exons. The record is from RefSeq and is a predicted model, not a curated record.